This 223-nucleotide unclassified non-coding RNA is filed under the name Hevea brasiliensis (rubber tree). The record is from RNAcentral. Lineage: Eukaryota; Viridiplantae; Streptophyta; Magnoliopsida; Malpighiales; Euphorbiaceae.
UCGAUUCCAAUGGACGAUCUUUCAGAUAUACAACUGCUCUUUUGAAGGACUAUCUGUACGAUCCGAGUAGGGCUCACUAAUUUUUACUGCCUUCGGAUUAUCAAACAUCGUAGAUUCAAAUAUAUACUUUUACAUUAUUUUGAGAUGUUAUUUUAUCUGUAUGUUUGUUUGAUUUAGACUAUUUGUUCUGCUCUUGUAGAAUGGGUGAACAUGUUUAAUAUGG